Molecule: long non-coding RNA, 906 nt
Organism: Ricinus communis (castor bean)
Lineage: Eukaryota; Viridiplantae; Streptophyta; Magnoliopsida; Malpighiales; Euphorbiaceae
Exons: 2
Source: RefSeq, a predicted model, not a curated record
UCAGCUCAGCACGUAUCAGACAAUUCUUUGUGCUGAGUGUAACACUACACUUCAAAGAAGAGAACUAGAAACCAGAUCCCCACUCCACGUAUAUAGGGGAAAAACAAUAUUUAAAAUAGACGAAGAAAAUAUAUAAAGAAAAAGAAAAGAGAGAGAAAAGGGUGGGGAAGGCAAAAAUGGAGUAAAGGCUAUGGUUUCUCUUUGUCAAUAGAGAUCUGCUAAGAAAAGAUAAAUAUAUAUUUAAAAAUGUAGAAAUAAAAAUGGUUAUAUUGUUUUCCAAUAUAAUUUAUAUUUCGACUUUGAAUUUUAAAUUAGUAUAUUUUUAUUAUCAAACCAUCACCUCAUACUUGUCAAACCACCACCUCAGAUAGUAUGGUGGAAUUCUAUUUAUGCUAAUAUGUAUAUCUUUAGUAAAGUCCAGGGGGGGGGGGGGCACUUGCCCUCCUAUUCUGCCUCUGUGAAUGGGGGAAGAUUGUGGAUAGUAGAGCCGCAGUAAAAUCCAGUAACUCGAUCCUAAUGGGCGAAGCUAUGGCUGUGAGAGAAACCUGUUUCCUUGCUGCAUCAAUGGAGAAUCGGAUUCACAGUCUGACAUCAACAAGGAAAUGUAACUUAGUCGCUGACUAGUUAGCAAAGGCGCCAGAAAACAGAUUUGACCCCACAGUUGGGUAGAUUGUCUGCCUCCCUUCCUAGCUCUUUUGGUUUCUGGAGAUGUCGAAGCUGCUUCUGGACAUUUGUCCAUGAAAUGAAAUCAUUUCCGUUUGCUAAAAAAACAGAAGUUACUAUGUUCAAGUCAGAUACAUAUAGAUGUGCCAUAUCAGUAGAACACUUAUUUAUUUAAGGUGGAUGGAUUUAAUACAACUUUGUUUCAACAUGGACUUAUUAGAAUUUUCAUUUUACGUGCUCUAA